RNAcentral lists this long non-coding RNA (1014 nucleotides) under Helianthus annuus (common sunflower). RNAcentral describes it as "sRNA HanXRQr2_Chr01g0030011". The record is from RNAcentral. Lineage: Eukaryota; Viridiplantae; Streptophyta; Magnoliopsida; Asterales; Asteraceae.
CCUUCAUCUUUAAUCUCCUCAUUCUUCUCCUUCACGUUGCUUACAGAACCUCUUCCUGAUGUUCAUCUUCUCCUUCUAAUUCAACUCCUGUAAUCCAUCUGGUGGUUCACUCUAUCAACAAACCCUAAUGAAUCCACCCAUAAAUAACAUGCCAAUCAAUCCGUUCUUUUAAUUUCUUCACUCCUUUUUCAAACCCUAAAAACUCUGGUGGCACAUACCUGCACUGUGAUUCUUUCUAACCCUAACGGAGGCAAGAAACAGAUCCAACAAUGGAGAAGUACAUAGUACGAUAGCAUUUCCGUGGCACUUCAACCGCCUCUUCCUCUCACUGUCAUGGUCGUCAUCUCUCCUAUAGACGCCAUUGAAUCGAGGAUUUGUUACGGCGGAGGUAGCGUGUUGUGGGCAUGAACAAUACAAUGAAAUUGGAGUAUCCAAAUCGGUUUGAAUUUGUGUCCAAGCAGAGAUAUAUACGCGUUCUGGGAUCCUUUUUGGGAGGCUCAUAGUGGUAAAAAUUCUUCAUCCACUAAAUGCAGAAGUAUUCCAACAUCAAGUGACCUUGUGCCCUCAAAUGAUUAUGUAAAAGUACCUACUUAUGGAACUGAGGUAUUGGAAAUUGAUGCCAAGCUGCUGAAAUUCUUAUAGAGGGAUGUUGAAUAAACGAUACUGGUAACAUCGUUUUAAUAUGAUAAAUAUUUAGAGAUUAUGAUUAUUUGUAUAUAUACGUGAGUUAUAUUUGUAAUCUCACUUCAUUAUUACUUUAUUUAAUAUGAAACUUUUUUUUUAAUCUAUACAGUAAUGACCGGAAACACUUAAUGUCAAAAUAAUGGAUGUAGGCUUUACGUUUACAUUUCGGAUGGGUCACUUUGUUUGUCCGAAAUGUUUAAGAAAGAUGAUUUCAGGAUUAUGAUUAUAAUCGUUUUAACUAUAAUAAGAAAGUUUAUGUCAAACUAUUAUUUCUCUGCACCACCGUCCUCACUUACUUGACUCUUAGGAAGACAACCUCUAGAGGAUCCG